This 627-nucleotide long non-coding RNA is filed under the name Malus domestica (apple). Its description in RNAcentral is "long non-coding RNA (MDOM_LNC017511)". The record is from RNAcentral. Lineage: Eukaryota; Viridiplantae; Streptophyta; Magnoliopsida; Rosales; Rosaceae.
AAUCAUGUCAUACAUAAUAUUAAUACCCAUAUGCAUAAAAUCCAAAAGGACACAUUAUACAUAAACCUUUGGCUCUGAUACCACUUGAAGGGAAAUCUAUGAGAUUCAUGUAUGGGAUUUCUAAAUGACUAGCAUGCAUAUACAAUUCAAAAUUAAUAUACAUGAGUAACGGAAGCAUUUAUCAAAUAAUAUCAAAGCAAUAGUCAUGCAAAUCCCCUUCAAGGUUCAUAGAUUUAUAUAUAAUGCAUCAAAAACAUUUUUUGAGAACCAAGAACAAAGUGAAGGUUUAGUCUUAUACCUCUUGAUCUAGAUUUAAGACCAAGAAUGGACCACCUCCAAGCCCUUUGCUCCUUGAAAUCCUUGAGCCUAGCCUCCCUCUUUGCCUCCUCCACUUUGAAAGAAUGAGUGCUCCUAGGUUCUCUUCAAGUUUCCAAAGUUGAAAACCUCUAAAGAUCCUCACCCACUAGUGUAGUGAGAAGGAUGAAGGAAUAACCAAAGGGUGAAAGAUGUGUUAGUAAAAUCACCCCAAGGUGGCCGGCCUUUGAUGUGUUUUAGAGAGAUAUUUCUUUUGCCUCUUUGUUGUUUUAAACAAACAAAAACCCUAAUGAACAAUAUCUCUAUAAAGUU